GAUGAACGCUGGCGGCGUGCUUAACACAUGCAAGUCGAACGAUGAAGCCCUGCUUGCUUGGUCUAAUGGGGGCGAACGGGCGAGUGACACGUGAGUAAACUGCCCUCUACUCUUUGGUAAGCCUUAGAGAAUGGGACUAAUAGCUGAUACGGCCUUCCACCUCCGGGUGAGUGCUGGGAAUAUUAUUCGCUUUUGGCUGGGCUCGCGCCGUAUCAGGUUUUUCGUGUGGUAAUGGCUGACCAAGACGACGACGGGUAGCCGGCCUGAGAGGGUGACCGGCCACACUGGGACUGAGGGACGGCCCAGACUCCUACGGGAGGCAGCAGUGGGGAGUAUUGCACAAUGGGCGCAAGCCUGAUGCAGCGACGCCGCGUGAGGGAUGACGGCCUUCGGGUUGUAAACCUCUUUCGGUAGGGAAGAAGCGAAAGUGACGGUACCUGAAGAAGAAGCACCGGCUAACUACGUG
Molecule: ribosomal RNA, 466 nt
Filed under: uncultured bacterium
Lineage: Bacteria
Description: partial 16S ribosomal RNA
Rfam family: Bacterial small subunit ribosomal RNA
Source: RNAcentral